CUGCAGCCCGAGUGGUGAUCGAUUUUAUUGAGCCUAAAGCGUCCGUAGCCGGACUAGUAAACCCUUGGGUAAAUUGGGCAGCUUAACUGUCCAAAUUCCGAGGGGACUGCUAGUCUUGGGACCGGGAGAGGUCAGAGGUACUCCAGGGGUAGGGGCUAAAUCCUGUAAUCCUUGGGGGACCACCAGUGGCGAAGGCGUCUGACUAGAACGGAUCCGACGGUAAGGGACGAAACCCUGGGGCGCAAAACGGAUUAGAUACCCGAGUAGUCC
This 270-nucleotide ribosomal RNA is filed under the name uncultured archaeon. RNAcentral's name for it is "partial 16S ribosomal RNA". It matches the Rfam family "Archaeal small subunit ribosomal RNA", at positions 477 to 747 of the family's 1478-position model. The record is from RNAcentral.